GCAGCAUACUUCUGUUCCUCAGGGACCCGAGCGGGGCAGGGAGGUCUCAUUUUGGAUAUUUUCUUACAGAGCUGAGGUCGUGUUAUCAGUUCACUAGAUGAAAACUCGCUACCAUGUUUGUAGUCUUCUAUUUACUCGGGUGUCUGGCAUAUGAAUACCGUCGUAUCCCAAGCUGAACGACUUUGAGAUGGAACUCUUGGGAAAACAUGCAUCUUGGAUAGAACUGGAGUCUGUCAGAUUUGGAACAGGACGUUCCUUGCAGCGCCAGAAGAACUCGACUCUACCCUAGAUGUAUUAAACCGGAAUACCGAAAUCAAUACUGAAACUCCACAAGAACGGGGAAAAGAUCAGCUGUUCAGUGAAGUCGCCGAAAGACUGAGGCACGAGAAGACAAGAACACCGAAACAGCACCUCGAAAUACUUUCUGACUCAGCGGAGAUGUGCGACCUAUACGACGCUCGAAAAUAGAGACGGGGCAGAUCUGUAAAGAGCUUGACCGUCUGUGGGAAGAGGAGCUCGAAAGUGUCGAGAUCGCCGUCUAAAGAUCAACAGUGGGGGAGAGGAAGCUAGUAGGUGGAAAGAAAGGCCGAGGACGCUCUCGUGGUGCCCGUGCAGGCGGAAGAGGACGUGGUCGAGUAGCUAGAUUUAAACCUCACUGCUCUUCUGUCAAGGUCUUAUUUCUUUAAAUCUUAGCCAUUAUGUUCGUGCUUCUGUAUUUCAUAGUAUCAGUGCCAUCAAACAUACCAUUAUGCUUUUCUUGUGGAUAGUAGCAUAACGAAUACGUGCAGAAUUGAAAAAAAACCGUUUUAAUGAAGUACCUUUUGGAUUGUAAAUAUCGAUAGACUUGUGCCUGGUUUUAAUAUCAUAUA
Long non-coding RNA from Branchiostoma floridae (Florida lancelet), 869 nucleotides. RefSeq lists it as uncharacterized. NCBI's taxonomy places the organism in Eukaryota, Metazoa, Chordata, Leptocardii, Amphioxiformes, Branchiostomatidae. The transcript has 3 exons. The record is from RefSeq and is a predicted model, not a curated record.